ACGCUCGACACUUACGGGAGGCAGCAGUGGGGAAUAUUGGGCAAUGGGCGAAAGCCUGACCCAGCAACGCCGCGUGAGGGAAGAAGGUUUUCGGAUUGUAAACCUCUGUCCUCAGGGACGAAGGACGUGACGGUACCUGAGGAGGAAGCCCCGGCUAACUACGUGCCACAGCCGCGGUAAUCUGAGCGGGCUGGCAAGGC
RNAcentral lists this ribosomal RNA (200 nucleotides) under uncultured bacterium. Its description in RNAcentral is "partial 16S ribosomal RNA". It matches the Rfam family "Bacterial small subunit ribosomal RNA", at positions 328 to 539 of the family's 1533-position model. The record is from RNAcentral.